This 1323-nucleotide unclassified non-coding RNA is filed under the name Bombus terrestris (buff-tailed bumblebee). Its description in RNAcentral is "misc RNA ENSBTSG00005038346.1". Lineage: Eukaryota; Metazoa; Arthropoda; Insecta; Hymenoptera; Apidae. The record is from RNAcentral.
AAUUCACGUUACGUGCAGCCAAAGAAAAGCAGAGAAGGGCAGCCCGGCCGGAGGAAUCUUCACGGGACGUUCACUAUCAUCGUGAGUCUUGAACUAGACUGUGCACAGGCACUGAAGAACUCGUUCCUUUCCCUCUUCCUUUUCUUUCAGUCCAGCUCAAGCUGGAGGCGGAGGGACACCCGAAGGUUGCCCUCGGCUUUAACCAAACCAAAAUGGUUAGCAUAUCGUAGCAUCAUAAAUCGAAGCGUCUUCAUUCGUGCAACAGCUUUCAACCACCGAAUUAAUAGAUCACCGUCGAUGCCCACCAUAAAAUCUGUACAUUAGCCACUGACAACCGUUUAGCAAUAAAAUAUCUCAUUUCUCUAUCUCGAUACAAUGUUUCAUAUACUGUGUCUCACUAAAGCACUUCAAUGCUUCUAUAAACUUUUUUAUCAAUAUAUGUAUAUAGUAUCUUGUUUCAUAAAGAUUUCAUUGGAAUUCAUUUGAUAUUUAUUACAAGCAUACACUUCAUAGAGAUUAUUUAAGUAUUUGAAUAAUCAAUUAUUAUAUUAGUUAGAGCAUCUUUAACAUUAAUUAUAUGCUUAAAACUAUUUAUACUCAAACGAAUAUUUUUCUAAAUGUGUAUUUGCAAUAAAUAGAUUCUAAUAUUUACCUUUAUACGUAUUUAUUUUAAGAGUGAUUCCAUAUUUUAUCAAUAUACAAUGGUUCUCGGAAGUAUUUGAACGUUAUAGAAACUGUGUGUAUAAUAUAAAACACUGAAAUCUCAUUAACACUGUAAUGAAACAUGACGAUAAUUAUAUUGGUCUUUGAAACCAAUCUGAAGAUAGUUACAACAUAGUUACUGCAAACGUAUAUUUAAUUCGAGACUAGUAUAGAUCAUGAUUAAUAAUCUUAAACAUAUAAUACGUAAAUAGUCGACUCUCGUUACAAUGCUAAUCGAAUUUCAAAGUGUUUCAUUUUUAUGUAACAUGCAUAAUAUAUACAUAAAUACUUCGUGAGCUAUUGUAUGUACAAUCGAUAGUAUCGAACAAAACGAAGAUCUAUUGAAAACGAUCGUAUCUGUGACAUAAAAAGAAUGAGAAACUACAUUAUACAUUAUUCAAAGUGUAACACGCGAAAACAACGUUUUUACAUUGAUACGUACGUUUAUAUAAUGCCUAGAGGAAAGCAGAUGGUGGUGAAUGGAUGCACGUUUCUCUUUGCGCAUGAUAACGUUUUACUAUUUUAGAUAUACUAUACGGAAUAAUUUCUAUCAAAAGUACUGAGGAUUUGAAUGAAAUUUAGAAAUAGAAAGAAAGACCUUGUAUCGAAUAACUGGUUUAA